GAUGAAGAACGCAGCGAAAUGCGAUAAGUAAUGUGAAUUGCAGAAUCCAGUGAAUCAUCGAAUCUUUGAACGCACAUUGCGCCCGCCAGCAUUCUGGCGGGCAUGCCUGUUCGAGCGUCAUUUCAACCCUCGACCUCCCUUUGGGGAAGUCGGCGUUGGGGACCGGCAGCACACCGCCGGCCCUGAAAUGGAGUGGCGGCCUGUCCGCGGCGACCUCUGCGUAGUAAACCAACUCGCACCGGAACCCCGACGUGGCCACGCCGUAAAACACCCAACUUCUGAACGUUGACCUCGAAUCAGGUAGGACUACCCGCUGAACUUAAGCAUAUCAAUAAGCGGAGGA
This 343-nucleotide unclassified non-coding RNA is filed under the name soil metagenome. RNAcentral describes it as "partial contains 5.8S ribosomal RNA, internal transcribed spacer 2, and large subunit ribosomal RNA". The stretch from base 1 to 120 matches the Rfam family "5.8S ribosomal RNA", at positions 35 to 154 of the family's 154-position model. The record is from RNAcentral.